CGCUGGCGGCAUGCCUAAUACAUGCAAGUCGAGCGAACAGAUGAAGUGCUUGCACUUCUGACGUUAGCGGCGAACGGGUGAGUAACACGUAAGGAAUCUACCUAUAAGCGGGGAUAACAUUCGGAAACGGGUGCUAAUACCGCAUAAUAUCUUCUUCCGCAUGGAAGAAGAUUGAAAGACGGCUCUGCUGUCACUUAUAGAUGACCUUGCGGUGCAUUAGUUAGUUGGUGGGGUAAUGGCCUACCAAGACGAUGAUGCAUAGCCGACCUGAGAGGGUGAUCGGCCACAUUGGGACUGAGACACGGCCCAAACUCCUACGGGAGGCAGCAGUAGGGAAUCUUCCGCAAUGGGCGAAAGCCUGACGGAGCAAUGCCGCGUGAGUGAAGAAGGCCUUCGGGUCGUAAAACUCUGUUAUAAGAGAAGAACAAAUUGUAGAGUAACUGCUACAGUCUUGACGGUAUCUUAUCAGAAAGCCACGGCUAACUACGUG
RNAcentral lists this ribosomal RNA (490 nucleotides) under uncultured bacterium. RNAcentral describes it as "bacterial SSU rRNA". It matches the Rfam family "Bacterial small subunit ribosomal RNA", at positions 34 to 507 of the family's 1533-position model. The record is from RNAcentral.